Long non-coding RNA from Cebus imitator (Panamanian white-faced capuchin), 212 nucleotides. RefSeq lists it as uncharacterized. The transcript is spliced from 2 exons. NCBI's taxonomy places the organism in Eukaryota, Metazoa, Chordata, Mammalia, Primates, Cebidae. The record is from RefSeq and is a predicted model, not a curated record.
UUGCAGGAUUGUUACAUAGGUAUACACAUGCCAAGGUGAUUUGCUGCCUCCAUCCCCCCCACCUCCCCGCCACCUACUUUUUUAGUAGUUUUUAAUUAGGGUAUGGGAGGGGUAGGGAGGUUUUCUAUAAACUGUAUCAUUUUCUGCUGAGGGUGGAGUGUCCCAUCCUUUUAAUCAAGAUGAUUAUGAUUUUGACUAAUAAAAAAGACUUU